UGGGGAAUAUUGGACAAUGGGCGCAAGCUGAUCCAGCAAUGCCGCGUGUGUGAAGAAGGCCUGCGGGUUGUAAAGCACUUUAAGCGGGGAAGAAAGGUGGGGUGUUAAUACCGCCUCACAUUGACGUUACCUGCAGAAUAAGCACCGGCUAACUCCGUGCCAGCWG
RNAcentral lists this ribosomal RNA (166 nucleotides) under uncultured bacterium. RNAcentral's name for it is "partial 16S ribosomal RNA". It matches the Rfam family "Bacterial small subunit ribosomal RNA", at positions 355 to 514 of the family's 1533-position model. The record is from RNAcentral.